RNAcentral lists this ribosomal RNA (842 nucleotides) under Salmonella enterica subsp. enterica serovar Kentucky. Its description in RNAcentral is "partial 23S ribosomal RNA". It matches the Rfam family "Bacterial large subunit ribosomal RNA", at positions 583 to 1424 of the family's 2925-position model. The record is from RNAcentral. Lineage: Bacteria; Pseudomonadati; Pseudomonadota; Gammaproteobacteria; Enterobacterales; Enterobacteriaceae.
UUGGGGUGGGGUGACUGCGUACCUUUUGUAUAAUGGGUCAGCGACUUAUAUUCUGUAGCAAGGUUAACCGUAUAGGGGAGCCGAAGGGAAACCGAGUCUUAACUGGGCGUUAAGUUGCAGGGUAUAGACCCGAAACCCGGUGAUCUAGCCAUGGGCAGGUUGAAGGUUGGGUAACACUAACUGGAGGACCGAACCGACUAAUGUUGAAAAAUUAGCGGAUGACUUGUGGCUGGGGGUGAAAGGCCAAUCAAACCGGGAGAUAGCUGGUUCUCCCCGAAAGCUAUUUAGGUAGCGCCUCGUGAACUCAUCUUCGGGGGUAGAGCACUGUUUCGGCUAGGGGGUCAUCCCGACUUACCAACCCGAUGCAAACUGCGAAUACCGAAGAAUGUUAUCACGGGAGACACACGGCGGGUGCUAACGUCCGUCGUGAAGAGGGAAACAACCCAGACCGCCAGCUAAGGUCCCAAAGUCACAGUUAAGUGGGAAACGAUGUGGGAAGGCUCAGACAGCCAGGAUGUUGGCUUAGAAGCAGCCAUCAUUUAAAGAAAGCGUAAUAGCUCACUGGUCGAGUCGGCCUGCGCGGAAGAUGUAACGGGGCUAAACUGUGCACCGAAGCUGCGGCAGCGACGCUUAUGCGUUGUUGGGUAGGGGAGCGUUCUGUAAGCCUGCGAAGGUGUCCUGUGAGGGAUGCUGGAGGUAUCAGAAGUGCGAAUGCUGACAUAAGUAACGAUAAUGCGGGUGAAAAGCCCGCUCGCCGGAAGACCAAGGGUUCCUGUCCAACGUUAAUCGGGGCAGGGUGAGUCGACCCCUAAGGCGAGGCCGAAAGGCGUAGUCGAUGGGAA